UUCCCUCCAAGAACUUCUCACCUUGCUCUUGGGGAGACUUGAACUCAAAACCUCUCUGUCGUAAUUGAAGACUCUUUGUACGCAAUACUUAAAUAUAUAUAAAUAUUAUCGUUUUGUACCAAAAAAAAGAGUGCGCCAUCUGCAGAGGAUUCCUUUAACAGGAUCCAAACACGUGUACACUGUUCCCAAGCACGCUCUGUAAAUAGACCCGGGACUCCCCCUACUAAUUUCAGUCCGACACGUCACUCUCACUAUUCCAAUUCACUAUACUAAUUACCCUUCCGAUUUGUAGCCAAAACACAAAUAUUAUUGGUCGACGCUUCAGUAUCAGGGGUUAAAAUGGUAAAUUGAACCUCCCUAAGUCACUGCCGCUAUGCGUAUAAUUACCCCACAGCUGCUAUUUUCCGAUGAAUAUACACCAUAAGUACCCAAAAAAUAUAAAUAAAUAAGGGAUGCGUGACAGUUCAUCAAUGGCAGCUCUGCAGUCUGGCACUGGGUUUUAUCUUCUUCCUCUCUCUUGAAUCUAGAUUAAUGUUGCUAUAGAUUACUGCAGUUUUCUAUGUAUAAAAAAAUAUAACUAUUAAAUUCAUAAUAUUUAUGUCACUUCGGUGAGUUUGGCGGCCUGUGUUUAUGCAAAUUAUUUGGUAGAUGUAUUUGAUUUGUGUUUAUGGAGGUUAGAUCUAUGUGAUAUGUCACAAACUGAGAGCGGGAUGCUGUUAAUAUUUUUCUUUGUUCUUCUUUUGGUUGGUUAAGAACACUGGAGGCAGCGGUUCAUCGAUCUGUUCCCUGAAAGGCGAUAAACAAAAUAUAGCAACAGGAAUCGGUCGAUAAACCUCUGCAUCCAGCGCUUAACCCCCUUCUCUCUCAUAUUGUUUUUCAUUUUUCUUCUCUUUAAUUUUUUUGAAUUAAUUGCUUCCGCAGUUCAUGAUAUGUUCAUGUUUGGUCUUUUAAGAUGUAUUAACUGCGUUUUGUUGGAUUUUCUGCUAAAAUGUGUAGAUUUAAUUUGCACAAUUUUCACAAAGAUUUGUCAUCUUAAAAGGAUAAUUACCGUACUAAAGGCAGAAAGAGAACAGUAAUCAGUUCCAGAAUAUGUAAUUAAGGUCUGGUUUUGGUUUAGUUGUGUAGAGAAAUACUCCCUCCGGUCCAAAAUAAAUGAUUUUUUAACUGUUUUCACACAGAUUAAGAAAUUCAUCUUUUAACAUUAAUUAGCAAUAAAAUUGAUCAUAUUAACCUUUACUAUCUUUUCACAUAAAUAAUCCAACACUAUUUACUCCAAAGGCAAUAUAGAAAAAAAUAAUAAUUAAUCAUUUUUGAAAUCUGAAAAAAUCGCUUAUUUUGGAUGACAAAAAAAUACCUUAUAAGUUUGUAAUUAUAUGCACAUGUAGAUAUUUAGUCCUAUUUGCAUAGUUUUUCUAUCCGAAAAGAGUGCGGUUUAUAUCUUUCUUUCAUUUUGGUGAAAAAAGCAUAUCGGUAAUUGCAUUUGAACUUUUCGGGGUUCUGAGGGAAGCUUUAAGAUAUAUUUAAUGCAUCUCCGUGCAAUUGCACCUAUUAUUUCGAUUACUGUUCCCUUCCAUAAGAAAAAGUUGCUAUCCAAGAACUAAUUAAGAAUUGUUGAGUUGCUCUUACUAGUUGAUAUGGGUAUUUUCUUGAGAUAUCUUAUAAUCUUAGCCGCUCACAAAAAUAAUAAUCGAUAAAAAAUAUCUUUUUUAUUAUAUACAAAAAAUUUAUGUAUUUUAUACAUUUUUUGGCUAGCGAAUGUAAUUACUAGUUUUAGUCGACUGGCCAGUUAUGUAUUUUGCCCCAUUUUCUUUUUCUUCUUUUUAUGCCUCAUAUCUAUUCCUGGUUGCCGUAAGUCAUUUUUCUACUGAUGUCAAGUUGAAUACUUAUGAUUCUUUGCGGAAAAUCUAUGCAAUUAAUUUGAUCCCCAUUUUGCCCACUGCAGUGACACUCUGCAAAAAAAGAAUUAGAAUUGGUGAAUAUACUCUUCCUUUGUCAUAUCUGGAAUUGGCUGGUGAUACUUCAUUUCUUUUUAACUGGCACUUUCUAUGGUUUUGGAUUAAAUGUGCUAUUCCAAUUUCCAACUAUCCACGAUUGAUUGGAAUGCUACAUUUGAGAUUAAUGCACCCACAUGGAUUUAUCACUUAGAUUUAGUUUAAAAGUUGAACUAUAUUUACAAAGAAUCAAUUCGUUACCAACUAUGUGGUUGGAUGUCACUUUCACAAUUAGUGAGUCAAAGGUUGUUUUUACUAGUUUGGGGGGUUUCUUUUGUUUUCCUUCAGGAGAGAAAGUUUACCUUCUAAAGAAAGUAUUGAAAGUGGGGAACAUGUUGUGCCUGUGAAAGUAAAGAGGAAUUGGAAAAUUGUUGUAUAAAGUGCCAAAUCGUCAGAGAAUCUUUACAAGUGAUGGGAACUCUUAGGAAUCUGGUAUCACAUUCCUUUUGCAAAGCUAGAAACCUAGUCAAGAAUUUAGUAGGUUGGAGCAAUCAAAAUAGUAGUAAUUUUUUUGACUGUACCUCUGAAUAGCAUCAGUUAAUGGAAAAGAAAAGAGUCUCUGUCACUUUCAAUAUUGAGGAUCUUCUUUUGCUUCUAGCUUUUUUGUGUUGUAAUUCAUAGAGUGGUGAUGUGCCCACACAGCUGCUUCUGAAAGAUUAUUCUGCCAAUAAUAUUUCUUCCUUGAAACUAGCCCCUGAGAAAAGAAGGAUUCUAGGUCGCCUAAACCAUUUGAUUUUUUUUUGUUAGUUUCCCACUCUAUGUCCAAUACUUGGUUUUGGGUCUCCUAUGAAUUUGGGUCCGGACAGUUUCACUAUGGGUGGUAAAAACGUUCGUUACAUAUGGUGAUUUCAUUUUCAUGACUCGAAUCCAAACUAUUAAGAAUUGAGGAGUAUGAGUAUUUACCACCGCACCACAAACCUUUGGUAGUUAAAACUUAAAACCACUUGAUUCUGAAUUCACAUUUUCGCUCUUGUUGAAGGCCACCCACUAAAUUCAGAAUUCAUUACCAGCAAUAUUAAGUUCUCUCUCAAUAUCUGGAGAAAUUUUUCUCGUUUGUUAUCUUCAAAUUAUUACCUGAAUGUUUAGCACUUGUCAAUGGUGUGGAAUGCGGCCUCUUGUGGAUCAUUCACAUGCUUUAACGUGCAACAAGCCUUUAUUCUAUUAUUAGUAGAUAAUAGCAUCUAUACUACUAUAUGUGUAUUGGUCAUUGCCGUCAAGCUGACCAACGUCCCGUCUAGACGGCAAGGAGGUGAAAGACGACAUGGCCUAUUCCACAUCAAGCAUUCUCGAUAUCCGUCGAGCCAGAAGAAACGAUGUUUAGAGGACGACCAAGACAGACAUAAUGUAAGACCGUCGAACCAAGUAGAUAGCAAAGGUCCCAUGACUAUAUAUAGUAAGGAAAAACCUUCGGUUAAGGGGAUCUGGGGCUUCUCCCGCUCUCCUUACUUCCCUCUUGUGUAAUCUUCCUAAACACAAAAGGAACAAUAUAGCAAUCUCGAAAGGAGGAUAUGUAAAACAACCUCCCCAUUGAUUAAUGAGAGACACAACGAAAGUUUCAAUAAGAUUGGUUACCUCUGUUUCAUCUUAUAUGCUACUUAUUCAAUUAGCUCAUUGAUCUGGAAUUCAUUAUGUUUAACUAAGAUUUUUCCCUUCUCUUUCUUUGAUUGAUUUGUCCUAAAAAGGUUCCAAUAUCUUUUUAGUCAAACAAUAUGAUUUACCAACCCAAAAAAAAGAGUAAAAUGUUGUUUCGGAUAUUACUUCAGAAAAUGGUGCCCCUUAGUGAGAGAUGUAAUUGUAAAACAGUACUCGAAUAAUUUGCAUAUAGGUCUCUUUCGUCACAUGUGACAAAUUUAUCACAUUGCACAGUUGUUUGAGUAGAAAGUGUCCUCAUUUCAUGAACAUAAAUAUUUCGCUUAAAAUACUUUCUAUAAAAUGGUCCUUGCCCACCCCCCCCCANNNNNNNNNNNNNNNNNNNNNNNNNNNNNNNNNNNNNNNNNNNNNNNNNNNNNNNNNNNNNNNNNNNNNNNNNNNNNNNNNNNNCAUGAUGCAAUUGACAAAGAGGUGAUAAUGGACAUGACAAUAAUAACAAGAUUGACAUUAAACAGAUCAAUAAUUCCAAAUGAUAUAUGGAGCAUACUGUGACAAAACACAUGUCCGUCACAGCAAUAUAAUGACUUGUUGAUAGUGAGAUAAUUUUUGUUUGCGUGCGCUAUUUGAUGAUUAGUAAUAAUGAUAAAACUUAAAAGAGACAGCUUAUAUUUACAAUCAUUUCAUAUAUUUUCUUUUACCUUUCAUGAUACACUAUAUACCGAUUAAAUCAUAAAAAAGUUUAAAAAAGAAAAAAGAUGCAUCGAAUUCAUAGGUCGCUGAUUAAAGAAGCAUCCUACCUGAAAUUUUAUUUACCUAAACCAACAAGAGACCUACCGUUAAGUAUAGCAUGGCAACUUGAGGGAGACGGAGGUGCCAUGAUGCAUGUUAUUUGCUGAUGACAUAGUUCUAAUUGAGGAGACAUGAGGCGGCGUCAAUGAGAGGUUGGAGGUUUGGAGACAUGCCCUUGAAUCUAAAGGUUUCAAGUUGAGCAGGACGAAGACGGAAUACCUCGAGUGCAAAUUUGGGGUCAAGCCGACGGAAGAGGGAGUGGACGUGAGGCUUGACUCUCAAGUCAUUCCUAAGAGGAGUAGUUUCAAGUAGCUUGGGUCGGUUAUUCAGGGGAUCGGGGAGAUCGACGAGGAUGUCACAUACCGUAUAUGUGUGGGGUGGAUGAAGUGGAGGUUAGCGUCGGGAGUCAUGUGUGACAAGAAAGUGUCACCGUUACUAAAAGGUAGUUUUUAUAGAGCAGUGGCUAGGCCUGCCAUGUUAUGUGGGACUGAGUGUUGGCCGGUUAAGAACCCACACAUCCAGAAGAUGAAAAUAGCAGAGAUGAGGAUGUUGAGGUGGAUGUGCGAGCAUACAAGGAUAGAUAAGAUUAGGAAUGAAAAUAUUCGAGAGAAGGUGGGCGUGGCCCCCAUGGAGGACAAGAUGCAGGAAGCAUGACUCAGAUGGUUCAGGCACAUUCAGAGGAGGAGCACUGAUGCACCGGUGAGGAGGUGCGAGCGACAGGCUGUGGUGGGCAUGAGGAGAGGUAGAGGGCGACCUAAGAAGUAUUGGGGAGAGGUGAUCAGGCAUGACAUGGCGCGACUUAGGAUUACUGAGGACAUGGCCCUGGACAGGGAAUUGUGGGGGUCGAGCAUUAAGGUUGCAGGUUAGGAGAAAGUUGUGAAUAUUUCUACGGUGCACCAGGGUGAGAUUAGCCAGUUAGGAGUUACUAUUUGGAUGCUAGUAGUCAUCAACUGAUGCAGGGCUUUAUCUGCUGGUUAUUAUCGUACUUUCCAUCUAUUUCAUAUUUCUUAUAUUGUUGUCAUUUUAUUGUGAUUCUAUUGAUGGCACUAAUAUAUCGUCUCUUGUGGCCUUCUUGAGCCGUGGGUCUCCUGGAAACAACAUUUCUUCCCCUAAAAGUAAGGGUAAGGUCUGCGUACAUAUUACCUUCCCCAGACCCCACUUGUGGGAUUACACUGGGUCGUCGUCGUCGUCGUUGUUGUUGUUGUUGUUGUUGUUGUUGUUGUUGUUGUUGUUGUUGUUGUUGUUGUAAUGUUUAUGAAAUAUGAUCAUAUCUUGAAGAAAAAAAAUUAAAAAAUUUCAAGUUCCCGAAUGGUUUAGGCAAAUUUCUUUCUUCCACUUACAAAACUUUAACUUUUCUUCAAAUAAAAUCCAUAUCCAAACACAAUUUUAACUUUCAAAAAUUAUUUUUAACACAACUUCAAAAAUUCUUUUUUCAAGUUUCAAUCAAAUCUAUGUCUAAACGCUAGCUUAUAUUUUGUUAUUAUGGGUAAGGUGGACGAAAGAUUAGCAGAUGACGACUUUUAAAUUUAAAGUGAAGAUUUAAAUUCUUCUUCUAAUUUUAGAAUUGAAAUUUUUUCAUUCCUAUACACUAUUGGAAAUUUUAUUACCCUAAAUGUUCAUGUUUAGUAAAUUAUCCUACCUACACAAAUUUUGUUUACAAAAUAUAUACAUUCCACGUUAAAAGGCUUCAAAUCCAUUAUUAAUGCCUUCAAUUAAGGGAUUUAGUUACAUCAUUUUCCUUCUUUUUUCACCUCUUUCCCCUUUUUUCUCCUGAUCUUCAACUCACACUCCAAAUAAGUUUUUGUGUGAGUUUUAAUAAAUAUAUCGUCUAUAUGUUUUCCAAUCAAAAUGAAACAGAUCACGCCCUGAGCUAUUUUUGAAAGUUAUCAUUCCUCCUUCAAGUUUUAAUCAUUCAUAAGUAUCUGAGAGUUUGGACUAUAAACAGAUAAACGGUAAAAGUUCAACUGCUUGUGCUCACAUUCCUGCGGGGCACGAAGUUACCUCCACAGUGCAUAAUCUUAAAUUAUGUUAACACAAACAAAAAUUAAAACAGCGAUGAACAUAAAAAGUGAAAAAUAUAAUUACUUUACCUUUAGCAUUUUUUUUAUUUGCUUUUCUUGCUCGUCAGAUUCUUAUGAAGGUAUUUUAUGAACAAAUAGUGAUAUAAGUGUCGAACUAAACUUAAUUUGUGUCCAAAAUAAAUUUCAUUAUCCUAAAAAUGAACCUUUCCAACAUAUUAUAAUCUACAUAAAAUCGUCCAUGACCUGUUUCAUAUUCUAUAACACAAUGUGUCGGGACAACCCACAUUCCUAUGGCUUAGAAAGGUGAUUACAGAACCAAAACUACAUUGUUAUUGUAGUAGCUGUGAGAGUUUGGAAUUAAGCUGCAAGGCACUAUACGUUCUUUCUAUUAUGUUCUAAACGAACUUCGAUAGAACUAAAUAUUUUUUAUACAAUUUUAUAAAAUAUAUCUUUUGUAUAUUUUGUAUCUGAUUUAUACAUAGUAAAAAUAAAUUUCAUGCAACUAGUUAUAUAUUAUACAAUUUAUCUACAAUUUUCAUACAUUAUUUCUACUUAGUUAUAUACAACUACAAUAAAAUACCACUUAAAUACAAAUUUUAUACAAUAUGUCUUUUGUAUAUUUUGUAUCUAAUUUAUACAUAGUAAAAACAAAUUUCAUACAACUAAUUAUAUAUUAUACAACUUAUCUACAAUUUUUAUACAUUAUUUCUACUCAAUUAUAUACAACUACAAUAUCAUAAAACUUAAAUAUAAUUUUUAUACAAUGUUGUUCAACUUUCAUACGAUAGUUAAAUGAAUAAAAGAAAAAUAAAUAAACAACAGAAUACAUUUUUUCUAUAAUUUUUCAACAAUUUUACUACAAUUUCUGCAAUAUAAUGUAUGGCAUAUCUUCUUCUUCUUCUUCUUCUUCUUCUUCUUCUUCUUCUUCUUCUUCGAGUUUCAAUCUGAAAUUCAGCCAAAACCAAGUCGGGCAUUUGCAUCUAUACCCGCUUUUUGGGUCACGUUUUAACUUGUGUCCGCUUUACAAAAAAAAUUGCAAGCGUACCCACUUUUUCGCGUAACUUCAGCAUACGUUGAACCAAGUGUGCAGAAGUUUUUCUUUGUAAUUGCUAAACUUAAGCAUAAUAGCUGAAGUUUUGUUCUCUAUUUGCUGAAGUUUUUGUUUGUAAUUGUUGAAGUUUUUGUUUUUGUCACUGGCGAACUUCAGCUCUAGAGCUGAAGUUUUUAUUUUUCAACAGGCCAACUUCAGCUCUAGAGCUGAAGUUUUGAUUUUUGUAAGAGCUGAAGUUUUUAUUUUGUAACUGGCGAACUUCAGCUCUAGAGCUGAAGUUUUUGUUUUUGUAACUGGCGAACUUCAGCUCUAGAGACUGGCGAACUUCAGCUCUAGAGCUGAAAUUUUUGUUUGCAAUUGGCGAACUUCAGCUCUAGAGCUCUAGGAGGCAUGUUGUACCCAAACGAAGUAACUUAAAGCAACAUUAACAGGAACCAGGAAACAUCAACACAUUACCAAUCCAAUCGACAACUGAAAUCUCCAAUUUUCGUCAGACCCAAUUCACCAAACAACAAUAUAAAAUUAAUAAUUAAUUUUUCUUGUCCCAUUUUCAUAUCAAAAUUGUGAAUAAGAUUCAAGUUGCAAAACCAAGAUAGAACCUUUACAGCUGAGGGUGUCGGCGAAAAGGAUAAAAUGAUUGAAAAUUUAUAGGACUCACCGGAGAAAUAAGAAGAAGCAGAUAGGGCUGAACUUACUUCUAAAAAAAGAAAAGAUAAAACUUUGAAGAGGAGGAGAAGGAGGAGAAAGGGGGCUGAAGUUGUUUAAAAAGUGGGUACAAGUUAAAACUUUUUUUUAAAAAAAAUGGGUAUAGGUUAAAUGAGGGCGACCAAAUAGGGCACCCCGUACAAUUUUUACAAUCAAGUCUAAUCUUCACCAAAACCCCUCAAAAUUGAGAUAUAAACUCCAAACCAUAUUUCCAAUUAUUUGCAACAACACCUAAUCCAAAUAAAUAAUAAUUUUUAAAAACCCAAAUUCGAAUUCAAAGCUUUUUAAUGACUGUCAAUGGUGGAAUUGCUGCUCUCUUUUCCUUUGCUUUAUAUUAUUGAAAUUUGGGAUUGAGAGAUAGAUAGAGAUGUAGAGAGAAUUCUCAAUUCUUUGCAACAACAUCCAAUCCACAAACAAUGUCUUUUGAAAACCCAAAUUCGAAUUCAAAGUUUCAAAGCUUUUUAAUGGUUGUCAAUGGUGAAGGGGAUACAGAUUUUCGUUGGUUUUAGAAGAGAAAAUAGUGGGUGAUUGAAGAGAAAAUCGUGGGGUGUGGUUUGAUACGUGGGUGAGGGGGUGAGAUUUGGAGAGAGAAACUUGGGGGGAGUGGGAAUAUACGGUAGAGUUAAAUUACGAGACUAAUUAAUACCAUUAAAACCUCUAAAAUAUAUAUAAAUGGUAAUUAGGUAUAUAAAAGGUAAUUAUAUUAACAGUUAAGCAUGGAGGGUAAUAUAGUUUACUAUAUGGCAUAGGAAUGUAAAAAUCUCUUUAGAAUUCAGAAUUAUAUGUGUUUAUAUUGGCCCAAUAAAGUCGAGAAACUAGCUCCAUUUCGUAAGUUGGAUCAUAAUGGUCUGUAUCCCGGUCCAUUGAAGCAUGGGCCUACCUUGACAAUAUAUAACUUGUAAAUAUAGAUAUACAAAGUAAUUAAUAAGGAACCUAAAUAAAUAUGGUAAAUUGGUUUCUAUUAUAAUAUAGUUAGGUAAGAAUUCUGCCAUAGGGCCAAAGGUCGCCUAAAUAGCCACUUAUCCAGCCGUUUAAACUAAAAAUAACCGGCAAAUCUAUAAUUGAUGUACAAUAUUUGUAUAAUAUGCACAAUCGUGUACUACAAUUUAUGUAAAUCAGCUAGAAAAAGUAAAAAGGGAAUCCAGUUAGCUAUUUAUGUAAAGAUCUCCGCAGCCCAAUGGUCAAAUAUGCUAAACGGGGAGAAAUUCAAAAAUAGCCAGAUUUAUAAGUGGUCAUUCAAAAAUAGCCAUAGUUUCAAAAGUAAUCGAAAUAUAGCCACUUUUCAUGUAAAAAUAAAUCUGAACGAAAACACUAUUCAAAAUCCGGAAAAAUACUCAAGUAUAAUAUACUAGAACUCCAGUAUAAUAUAUCGGUCCAGCAUAAUAUACUGGAGAGUGGAGCACCGGUGCUCCAAUCUCCAGUAUAUUAUACUGGAACUUUCCGCGUGUUGGAGUUCCAUCAUAAUAUGCUAGAAGUUGGGGUGUUCAUAAAAACACGAACAACCGAACCAAACCGAAAAUCGAACCAAACCGACUAUAAAAGUAACUAUUUAAAAUUAUUAUUACACCUACAUAUAUGUAUUUUUAUAUAAAAUUUCUAAAAUUUUGUCGUACAUAUUAGUCAUUUGUAUUUUUAGUCUAGUUUUUUGCUAUUAUAAUAAUCUAAUUCUUUGCCUUUACAUUCUAGUUUGAUUGGUAGUUUUCUUUUGCAAGUACAAGAAUUUAUUUCAUGAUAAAAAUAAUUAAUUUUUAAUUGAGUACUUAAAUUAUUCAUCACUAUUUAAUUCAAUUAUCAUCAAUAUAUCUUGGUAAAUGAUAGAUUUUUCAAAGAGCAAUUGAUUUGAUAGUAUUACGUUGAAAAUGUAGUCGCCGGAAUAUGCGUUUGGUAGUGUAUGUCUCAUAUUUAAGAAAAAAACGAUAAAUCACCGAAAACGACAAAAACCGAUAAAAACCGAAUCGAUAAAAAACCGACUUAAUUGGUUUGGUUUGGUUCCAAUAUUUGAAAAAUCGACUUACUUGAUUUGAUUUCUUUUUAGGAAAAAACCGAUCUAAACCGAACCAUAAACGUCCAUGGCUAGGCAGAAGAAUAAGAAGAGAACAGCAAAUAAACUUUGGUGUCAAAAAGUAAAUAUGUAUUGCAUUAAACUGAUCUCAGCAGAGACAAGCAAAUAUAGAGAAAAAUGCUACUCCUAUACUAAUUAAGCUACAUCAAAAGGAACUGUUUAAUCCAUUAUUCUCUGCCGACGACUUAUUUGCAUGAGAAAAAAGGCACUCAAAUAAUUGAGCACUAGUUUGAUAGUGAUUUUCUUCAACUUCUUCUUCUUCUUCUUGGUCUUUUUUCCCACUUUGAUCAGCUACAGAAGCACUAAAAGAAGGAGCCACAAUCACUGAAGAAUAAACCUUUGAACUACUUCCUUGUAAUUGGAUCCUGCAGAUCUCUUCUUUAUCUUGAUCACAACCCAUAUUUUCUUGAACAAAUGCCUCUGUUUCUAUUUCAUUUUGAUAUCUAUUCCCUGCAAGUUUCUUCAUGAUUGCAAGUUUAAGAAGUUGAUAUAAUCUUGGAUUUUUUUCCAACAAACUGCAGUUUUCUUCAUUGGGUUUCAAGAUUCCUUGGUAUUUGAAAUUUGUUUUGGCAUUUCUACCACGAAGAAGACGUGCAGCAUUAUCAUAAGCCAAAGCUGCUUCUUCUGCUCUGUCAAAAGUUCCUAACCAUAGCCUGAGUUCUUGUGAAGAAUCUUUGAUUUCAGCAACCCAUCUACCUGAAGGCCUUUGUCUCACUCCAAUAAAUUUCUUUCCAUCAUUUGAGGAAAUUAACUUUGACUUUCUUUUUAUCACUUGCUUUUCUUGGAUAUUUUUGGAUGAGUUGUUUAAAGACUCAGAUGAUUGGGAUUUUGAGCUUUCCAUUCUAUACUUAGAGAGGAGAUUAAUUAGAAGUGGUUUGUUUUAUGAUUAGGAGGAUUGGGAACAGUGGUUUGUAUAUAUACUAGAAAGAAGAAAAGAGGUGUUAUAAUUAUAUGUUGAUUGUCUUUAUUGGGUAUUUUUGUAGUUUACUAUCUACAAUUAUUGACAAUUUAUGAUUACGUUGAUUAUGAAUUGGCACAACAUAAAUAAUUUUUACACUAUCAGUGUAAUUCGAAAGGUUAUAGUAAAUUAUUCCCUCCAUCUCAAAUUACACGAGGUAGUUUGAUUCGGUACGGAAUUUCAAGGNNNNNNNNNNNNNNNNNNNNNNNNNNNNNNNNNNNNNNNNNNNNNNNNNNNNNNNNNNNNNNNNNNNNNNNNNNNNNNNNNNNNNNNNNNNNNNNNNNNNNNNNNNNNNNNNNNNNNNNNNNNNNNNNNNNNNNNNNNNNNNNNNNNNNNNNNNNNNNNNNNNNNNNNNNNNNNNNNNNNNNNNNNNNNNNNNNNNNNNNNNNNNNNNNNNNNNNNNNNNNNNNNNNNNNNNNNNNNNNNNNNNNNNNNNNNNNNNNNNNNNNNNNNNNNNNNNNNNNNNNNNNNNNNNNNNNNNNNNNNNNNNNNNNNNUUUGGAUGAGUUGUUUAAAGACUCAGAUGAUUGGGAUUUUGAGCUUUCCAUUCUAUACUUAGAGAGGAGAUUAAUUAGAAGUGGUUUGUUUUAUGAUUAGGAGGAUUGGGAACAGUGGUUUGUAUAUAUACUAGAAAGAAGAAAAGAGGUGUUAUAAUUAUAUGUUGAUUGUCUUUAUUGGGUAUUUUUGUAGUUUACUAUCUACAAUUAUUGACAAUUUAUGAUUACGUUGAUUAUGAAUUGGCACAACAUAAAUAAUUUUUACACUAUCAGUGUAAUUCGAAAGGUUAUAGUAAAUUAUUCCCUCCAUCUCAAAUUACACGAGGUAGUUUGAUUCGGUACGGAAUUUAAGGAAAAAAAAGACUUUUGUGACUUAUAAAAGAUUCUCAGUACGGGUACAACAACAACAACCCAAUAUAAUCCCACUUAAUAGGGUUCGGGGAGGGUAGUGUGUACACAAACCUUACCCCUACCCUGGGGUAGAGAGGUUCUUUCCAAAUAAACCUUCGGCAUCCUUCCCUCCAAGAACUUCCCGACUUGCUCUUGGGGAAACUCGAACUCACAACCUCUUGGUUGGAAGUGGAGGUUGCUUACCAUCAGAGCAACCCCUCUUGUCUAUUCUCAGUACGGGUAAAAUGAGUAAAAUGAAGAGUUUACAAUUUAAUUAUUUCAAAAUUUAAAAAUGUGUCAUUUAUUUUGGAACAGCCUAAAAAGGAAAAUACCUCAUCUAAUUUUGAAACGUAGGAAGUACUAUUUUACAAUAACAACAACAAAAAUAGUACUAUUUUAUUUUUCAAUUAUUUCACUGAGCUUGUAAUGGAAAGCUUGUAAUGGAAAAUUACGUGUUAUUGUAGGUCGACUUACAACGAUGAUGCAAAAAAUUUAUAUUCUUAGAAACAUUGAAUGCUUACUACAAGCAAUAUUUGUCAUGGCUUGUCAUAGGAUCAAGUUUAAUGAUAAAGGUUUAGUACAACUAAUGUCCUGUAUAUAAUACUUCCAAGAGGCAACAAACAAAAUUAGCUCAUCAAAAGUCCAAAACUGAAUAGAGCUAGCUCCUCCAUGUUUUUUUCUGAAUUAGGCUUCACUCUCUUUCCUUUUUGAAAGCUGAAAAACUAAUAUUUUGGUGUUGUCACAUAGUGUAUGUCUUUGUUAGUCCCUUAGAACAAUAUGUUUUUAAUAAUCUGAUACUUCAAUUCAUCAUCUGUAUUUGAACAGAUGCUUACAUCAGAGUGCUUGGUGGAUUUGUCAUGAAUUGUUAAAAUAAGCCUCAAAUUAAAAAUAAUUUUUUGGUUGUCACGUUUAUUAUUUCCUGAAUUUAUGAUUUAGAUACUGCUACUAUCAAUCUGGUUAUUUUGUAUUAUAGUUGUAAUUAUAUAUAUGUAAGACUAAGAUGAUUGUUUUCUGGUAUGUUAACAAAACUUUUUGGGAAUAUUUAUAUCUUGUAGAAAAUAGUUGCUCAUUUUUAGUCCUUUAAUUCCUAGAAGUUGCCACAUCCAUAAUGGAUUUAUUACAAGCAAUAAUAUAUCUUAUGUUCUAUUAAAAAAGGUAGAUAGUGCAUAAAGCAUCAAUCAACCUUUGACAUAAGAAUCCAUGGUUAAUUCCACGGCUCGGAUCCGUAUUGUUCCAACCUCCCCUCCAUAUAUGUCUUAUGUUCUAUGUGUAUAUAGUUUCUUGUUAUUAGGGCUGAUUGUGUUUUCUUCUUAACUUUUGAAUUGGGCUAAACCAGUCAGUCCAAUCAAUCAAGAUCUACGUUUUAAUUUGGGUCAAUUUUGUUGGGCUCAAAUAAACGGGGCUUUAACCUAACAUAAUGGACACUGGUCCAAUGAUCAGAUGGUUGCUGAAAUAUUUGGAUAGUUGGAUGCUCGAGCUGGAAUAAUUCGGAAUUCCUUUCGGCUUUUGCACCAAGCUGGCUCAUGGCUGAAUAUAUAUGUCGUAGCCUUUUUCUGUGGAGAAGAUCGCCAAAAAAAGAAGUGAACUUUACUGAGUAGCUAAAGGUUAGGGUCUUAGAGAUUGCAAAUGGGACGGUGUGGGUGCGGGGCGGUACGGGUUUAAACACAUGCGGGGCGUAUUUAAACAUAUGCAGAUGCGGGGCGGGGCGGGGCGAAAUAAACAAAAUAAAAACUGUGCGAUUGCGGAUUUUAAAAUUUCAUUAAAAAAGGAAACUCAAUUUUAACUAAUGGAAAUUGGGUCUAAGCUAAGUAAACUUCUAACAUAAUAAAUUCGGUAUUUUCAAAUCAGUAGACUUUUGAUACAGUAAAAUAAAGCGAUUGAAUAGAAAUGUUAUGUGGAGAAAGAAUGAACAAUUCGUUUACUAGUAACCCAAAAGGAAUUACAGUAAGUCUGACACUCAACAAAAUCUGCAAUUCUUUAAAAUUAAUAAAAAGUAUGAGUAGAUCUCAUAAAUGUAUAAAAAAAUUCCAGCCAAAAGAUUAAAAUAUAAAUAAACUAACAAAAUAAAGGGGAAAAAAAGUUAAGCGGGUGCAGAGCGGGGCAGGGCAGGUAGAUGCGGGUGUGAAUGCGGAGCUGGUGAACACGAGUGCAUUUGCUAUACGAAGCGGGGCGGAUUGAAUUUUUGCGGGUUAAGAGAAAACCCGCAUUGCACCGCUUGCCAUCCCUACUAUAACUCAGUAUUCCAUUCAACACAGUGCCGAAAAAUUCUAGCAUUAAAGUUAUGUCAUAUACACUACUCCUUCGGUCCAAAAUAAGUGGCUUUUUGUCUUUUGGCGCACAUCUUAAGAAAAUAUUAUUUCCUAAAGGAAAAAAAUAUUUAGACUAAAUUACCAUUAACUAAAAUUUGCAUAUUGUUAACUCAACGCAUUGUGAUAUAUAAAUAAGGGCAAAUUUCGAAAAUAUAAAGUUAAUUGCUUCUUGAUUAUAUAAAAUGAUAUUUAUUUUGGACCAAAAUAAAAAAGUCAAAAAGUCAUACUACUUUAAGUCGUGUUUCCUCUACUUUGGCUUAUUACCUAAGGAUUCCGAAAUAGAAUGCCUAACAGGAGGAUUUCUCCGGCUGGUGCACAGGGUCAAUGUAGUUUUGUUGAAAGUUUUUUGGUUACGGUUCAACAAAACUCAUAACUUUCGAUACGGAAUAUGAAUUUAAAUAUCAAACUUAUUAAAAUAUCAAUAAAUAUUAAAUUUAAACCCAUAAUUUUAGUAGUAAUACAAUAUUUUUAAUGCUAAAAAUUUUAAAAGCUAAACCCUUUAAAUUUAAAUUUUGAAUUUAUCUAUGCUGCAAACAUAACAUUAUCGUUUGUUUCCUAGUUUUGUGGUUAACCUUGAAUCCAAAAGAAAAAGGAGAAGCGAUUGGGGGUGUGUUUGGUAUGAAGGAAAAUAUUUUUCAUGGAAAAUGUUUUCCUAGAAAAUAUUUUUCAUGAAAAAUGAGUGGUUUUAUCACUUAUUUUCCCUUGUUUGGUUGGUGAGUGGAAAAUAUUUUUCGAAAAAUAUUUUCUAGCGUUUGGUUAGAGAGUAGAAAAUAUAUUUGUAUGCUAUUCUCUUCACCGCCCCCUCCCCCUCCCCCAAGUCUCUAAAAAUCCACACAAACCCAAAGGAACUAAUGUGACGCUUUACUUUUGUUAUGCAAAAAUUACGUUAAAAUUUGUGCUCCAUAACUAAAAAAAAUACUCUUUUUUUUGUUGAAAAAGAAAGUACUCUUUCUACAACAUGAAAAUAAAGUACUCAUCUUAUUAAAAUAAAAGAAAAUACUUUUUCUACAUCAUGAAAUAAAAUACUCAUUUUGUUGAAAUGAAAAAAGAAAUACUUUUUUACAUCAUAAAAAAUACUUUUUUUAUUGAAAUAAAAAAAAUACUUUUUCUACAUGAAAAAAAAGUUUUUUUUUAUUAUUAAAAUGAAAAAAUAUUUGUUUAUAUCAUGAAAAAAAAUACUCAUUUGUUGAAAUGNNNNNNNNNNNNNNNNNNNNNNNNNUUUAGGAUUGGGGUGGGGCGGGUGGGGUUAGGGUUGGGGUAGAGUGGGGUUGGGUGGAUGAAGGUGGGGUGUGGGGGUGGGUUGGGAUAGGGCAUAGGGUGGGGAAGGUUGAGAAGGAGUUUUGGAAAAUAUUUUGGAAGAGUAGUGGGGAUACGACUGUGAUGUGGGCCAUGACAGCGAACUACAUUAGGAAGCUGCGAGAGAGGCUUUAGGGGUUACAAAGGGAUACCCUGGGAGAUGUAUAGGGGAUUGGUGGUGGAAUACGGAGGUCCAAGGUAAAGUUAAAGUUAAGAAAACGGCUUAUUUGAAACUAGUGGAGAGCACAAACUAGGAGGAAAAGAGGACGAAUUGGGAAUGUUAUAAGAAGGCAAAGAAAGAGGCAAAGUUAGCGGUUACGACAGCUAAGACUGUUGCCUUUGGAUGCAUGUAUGCGGAGCUUGGGAGCAAAGUCGGGGACAAAAAGUUGUACAGGUUAGCCAAAGUGAGGGAGAGAAAAACUUGUGACUUGGACCAAGUGAAGUGCAUCAAAGAUGAGGACGGCAUGGUAUUGAUAGAAGAUGCCCAUAUUAGACGAAGAUGGAAGACGUACUUCCACAGAUUGUUGAACAAGGAGGGGGACAGAAGCAUUGUGUUGGGUGAGUUGGAGCACUCCGAGAGUCUGCAUGAUUUUGGCUAUUGUAGAUGUAUUAAAGUCGAAGAGGUUAUGGUAGCGAUGCGUAAGAUGAGUAGGGGAAAAGCAAAUGGGCCAGGAGAUCCUGAUAGAAUUCUGGAAGAGUAUGGGCCGUGCAGGCGUGGAGUGACUUACUGAGUUGUUUAAUAUUAUCUUUAAGACGAAGAAGAUGCCCGAAGAAUGGAGGUGGAGUAUGAUGAUUCCUUUGUACAAGAACAAGGGUGAUAUACAAAGCUGCAAUAACUAUAGGGGUAUCAAGCUGCUGAGUCAUACUAUGAAAAUAUGGGAGAGGGGGUGGAAAUCAGGGUGAGAAAGAGUGUGUCUAUUUUUGAGAAUCAGUUUGGAUUUAUGCCGGGCGAUCGACUACGGAAGCCACUUAUCCGGUGAGGAGAUUGGUAGAGCAGUAUAGGGAGAGAAAGAAGGACUUGCGCAUGAUGUUUAUAGACCUAGAAAAGGCGUAUAAUAAAGUUCUAAGGGAGGUUCUGUGGAGAUGUUUGGAGGUUAGCGGCAUUCCGGUAGCUUACACUAGGGUAAUCAAGGACAUGUAUGAUGGUGCUAAGACUCGGGUGAGGACAAUGGGAAGUGACUCAGAUCACUUCCCAGUAGUGAUAGGGUUGCACCAGGGAUUGACUCUUAGCUCGUUCUUAUUUUCUCUGGUGAUGGAUGUGCUGACACGACACAUUCAAGGAGAGGUGCCAUGGUGCAUGUUAUUUGCUGAUGACAUAAUGCUGAUUAAUGAGACGAGGAGCGGGGUCAAUGCGAGGCUGGAGGUCUGGAGGUAGACCCUAGAGUCUAAAGAUUUCAAGUUGAGCAGGACCAAAACGAAAUACUUUAAGUGUAAGUUCAGUGAGGAGACUCAUGAAGCGGGCGUGGAUAUGAAGCUUGAUACCCAAGUCAUCCCGAGGAGGGAUAGUUUCAAGUAUCUCGAGUAAUCCAGGGUAACAGAGAGAUUGAUGAUGAGGUCUCCCAUCGUAUCGGUGCGGGAUGGAUGAAAUGGAGGCUCGCAUCCGAUGUUUUGUGUGAUAAAAAGGUGCCACCAAGAAUUAAGGGUAAGUUCUAUGGAAUGGUGUGUAGACCUACUAUGUUGUAUGGGGCUGAGUGUUAGCCAGUCAAAAACUCCCAUGUUUAGAGGAUGAAAGUAACGGAAAUGAGGAUGUUGAGAUGGAUGUGAGGGCACACCAUGAGAGAUAAGAUUAGGAACGAAGUUAUUCGGAAAAAAUAGGAGUGGUCCCAGUGGAGGACAAGAUGUGGGAGUUGAGGCUGAGGUGGUUCGGGCAUGUGCAGAGGGGGAGUACGGAUGCUCCUGUUAGGAGGUGUGAGAGGAUGGCCGUGGCGGGGCUGAGAAGGGGUGGAGGAAGGCCGAAGAAGUAUUGGAGAGAGGUGAUUAGGCAUGAUAUGGCGCUACUUCAGCUCACCGAGGAUAUGAUCCAGGGUAGAAGGGUGUGGAGGUCGAAGAUUAGGGUAGUUGUCUAGUAGGUAGUCGAGAGUUUCCCAUUCUUUUUUAGUAGUAUUAGUAGCUCCCUUAUUUUUUCGUUCCUGUGUAUCGUUUGUUCCAGUUUGUUACUGCUUGAUGCUAUUUUAUGUUACUAGUUUCGUUGUUGUUGUUAUUGUUGUUGUUACUAUAGUUGUCUUUCUCCCAUUUUCCUUAUGGUCUUUUGCCCACCUAUUCUUUCUUUCUUCUUCGUCUUCUUCCUUUCUCUCUUUUCACCUUUUUUGGAGUUAGGGUCUAUUGGAAACAACCUCUUUAUUUUGCUAGGUAGGAGUAAGGUCUGCUAUACACUAUCCUCCCUAGACCCCACUUGUGGGAUUAUACUGGGUAUGUUGUUGUUGAUAGGGAAAAUAUUUUUCUCAAAUUGGAGAAAAAUAAGUUCAUGAAAAAAAUAUUUUCUAAAAUAUUUAGGUCAACCAAACAUAAAUAAAUUGAAAGAUAUUUUCCUUCGUACCAAAACACACCCAGAAAGGUCUCACAAGGAAAAUUUUAUUUUAUGUCUCAUACAACUGAUACUCGUUGUAUGAGGCAACUUUUUUAUCUCACAAUUUUGUGAACCCAAAUUUCUGUAGAUUCAAAAGUGUAAGAUUGAGGUCUACAAAUUUGUAAGACAAAAAAGAACCUCAUACAACUAGUGUUAGUUGUACGAGACACGAAAUAAAACUUGCGACAAAGUGUUGUACUACUAAUCUUACGAUCCCCAGUACUACUCCAGUCCGCAUAAGCAAAAGGUAGACAGAUGUAGUACACAGUAGGAAAAGGGCCCCAUUUUUCUCUAUCUUGUAAGCCACGUGUCAUCAUGGUUAUGGCCUCAUCAGAAUUUUGUAAUACCACGUCGGAUUAUAAGGACCAAGGAACACGAAAAAUAAAUUCAGCCGUUGAGUUGGUUUCUCAAUUUCUCAUCACACAUUAGCUAUCAUUGAUACAAACCUUUAUUAUACCACAAAACAGAGGCCAUAAACACAACCAACUUUCAUUGGAGGGACAGACUCAGGCAAGCGGUGGCAAGAGGCUGAAAGGCAAUGGCACUAAGAGCUUCAGCCACCGUAAAAUCACCUCUUCCUCCGCCUUCUUCUUCUUCCUCUUCUACACCUACGAAAAUCUUUAAUUUCCCUACACUCUCCCAGAAACCGGAAUUCACUUCAAAAUCUGUGUCAGUAUCACUGUCUACUUCAACGGCUCUUUUCCUCUUUCCUCUCUUCACUGCUACCCAUGAAGCCAGAGCACUCAGCUUACCCAAGGAAGAUAUUGUCUCUUCCCUUAAUCAGGUACCGCUUACUAAUUUUCCCUCAAUUGAGUUAACUCUUUACAUUUUCUUGGAUGUUUUUUAAAAGCCAUUUAUUUAAUGGCAAUUCUGCUAGGUAUAGUUUUUUUUUUGCUUUCGCCCUUGUAUUUAAUGACAAUUCUUGUUUCACAUCCUUGGUUGCUUUAGCUCUUCUAGAAAUUGUUUUAUCGAAUAACACUUGAAGCUUUAUUUAUUUAUUUAUUUUGUGGUUCUAGCCGCAUUUCCUGUUGAUUUUCGUUGUUAAAUUUACUAUUCCUGAUAGUUUUAAAGUUAGAAUUUUUGUGACAAUAUUUUGCUCGGAUAAUUAUGAUUCUACAUGCUGUGUAUUAAAUGGCAGAGGACUGCAGGUCCAUAAAUUUAUGUUCUGUGUUUGUGGUUUGUGAAAAAAUUUAGUUCUUAGCAAUUUAUCGGAAGCUUCCUCUUUACAGGUAGAAUCUGCAGUUAAUCAAGCUCAACAGGUUGGUUCGAACAUCUUUGAUGCUGCAAGCCGAGUGAUUGGGCCCAUAAUUGAAUUUGUGAAGCCCGGGGUUGAUGUGGCAUUGCCUUUAGUAAAGCAGGCAGGAGAAGAAAUUUUAAAGAAUGCUUCUCCUGUCAUAUCUGAUGCCACUAAGAAAGCCCAAGAGGCAAUGCAGAGCGCUGGCAUGGACACUCAGCCAGUGAUGACUGCAGCUAAGGUUUGGCUAUAGGAAGUUCUUGUUUCACAUGCUUCAAUUAGUCAGUAAAAUUCAUCUGUGCUUUGUGAAUAAAUUGCCACUUUGCCAGCCAUCUGUACAUUGCCUUUUGACCAGUGAAAUUUUCUUGUAAGAAGUAAUAAUCAUGCAAGUCAUAUGUGAGAGGAAAAGUAUCUUGGUGGAUAGGUAGACGAGCGUUUCUCUUUGUCUUACUCAGUUCACUAGCAUUAGUGUUAGUAUGAUAUCUUUUAUUCAUAGAUGGUUAUUACUACCUAGAGUUUGACUGCAUUCUUGGAUUCGUUCUUAUUUCAUCUUGCUGUUAUUCCUACUUGUUGCAAUUACCUUUUCUUUUUCAGUCGUUCUCUAGCCGAGGGUUUAUCGGAAACAACCUCUCUGCCCUUCUAGGGGUAGGGGUAAGGCUGCGCAUAUCUUACCCUCCCCAGACUCCACUCGUAGGAAACUACUGGGUUUGUUGUUGUUGUUGUUGAAGCGAUAAUCAUGUAAGUCAUAUGUGGGAGGAAAAAUAUCUUGGUGGAUAAAGGUGAAGGUACUAGCACUGGAUAUAGAACAAAAUAGUAUUCAAUGCUUUAUUCUUCUUUAAUCCAUUUCUGGACAUGAAAAUGAUAUUCUUGGACUUUGCCAUGUCGUUAUAUUUUGGGUUUCAUCUUUCCUUACUCAACUUUAAGAGAUAAAUGAUUGUUUGGUUGCAGACAGUUGUUGAUGCAGCUCAACAGACAUCCAAGGUGAUCGAAGGGGCCAAACCAAUCGCCUCAUCCACAGUUGAAACAAUUUCAUCAGCUGAUCCAGCUAUUAUUGCAGUGGCCGGUGGCUCAUUAUUCCUGGCAUAUCUUCUACUUCCCCCAGUUUUCUCCGCUCUCUCUUUCAGCCUUCGUGGUUACAAGGGUAAUUGGAUGGGUUUUCUUACUCUUGUUUAUCUCCCCGAAUUUAUGUCGCUUUAGACCACUGAGAUAUACAACUGAGAAUAGAUGUAGUACUCCGGAGGGAUCUCCUAAAGUACAUAAGCAUAAUAAUAGUUCUAAGAAUAAUAUUUAGGAGUGUUAGAUUAUGGGACUUCUAGAUGAACUCGGUCCCAAGAACCAAUGCCUGCUACUAUCUGUGAGAAACGUAAUAUUCAUUUUCAAUCAUGUGGUUAUUGGUCAUGCAUUUAAAAUCAAUCUGCUUUAGAAUAUCGUAAAUUACAUUCGACCAGAAUGAGAAAACAAGUAACUAGACUAAGAUGACAGUAUGCAAGUAAUAGUUUUAAAAAUUCAAUGCUGCUUGUUUCCUGCAUUUCUAAUGGUGGUACAGUGUGAGUGCUAUUUCACAUAAACUAAACAAGGCUUUUUCAAAAGUUUUUGCCACCAACCUCCCCAUCCCCACAAGAAAAUUAAAAUUAAAAGAAAAAAAGGUAAUGCAAAAAUAUAAGACCAUGACUAACUUUGGCUUGGUUGGAUGGAUUAUCCAAUUCCUUCUUGCUACCAAUAAAUGUCUCCCAAGUAGCUGAAAUAGUGAAAUUUGUCAUCGUCAUGAGGGGAGGUGCCUUCACAAUCCAUUUUAUUAUCAGUGUCUUGAUAUCAAGUAAUCACAUUGUAGCUGUCUUGCCAUUUUGAGAUUUCCUAUUAUUUUUGGGAGUUGAGAAGCUUGGCAUUUCACAACAACUAAACUUGGCUUUUUUCUGUAAAGCAAAGUAAGUCCAUAUGUAAUCAGUCGAGAACCAGCGUUCAUUUAGUUAUUAACUUCUGCAACAUCAAAUAAUGGUGUCCUGAGUGACUGAAAUUGUUAUCAUACUGGAAAUUGCCUUCACAAUUUGCUUUAAUAGCAUUAUCUUGAAUCCAAGUUUGUUGCUUAUAGUUUUGUUAAACAAUUUUCGUUUUCCUGUUAAUUUUGGGACUAAAGAAACUUGAUUUGGAAUGACAUUUCCAGGUGAACUAACUCCUGCUCAAACACUGGACCAGAUGUGUUCUAAGAAUUAUGUCUUGAUUGAUAUUAGAACAGAGAAGGACAAGGAUAAGGCUGGAAUUCCUCGUCUUCCAUCUAGUGCUAAAAACAAUAUGAUUCAAAUCCCGUAAGUUGGCUUGAAAUUAACAUUCUUGCUAAAUGAACCAUGCUCUAUCUUUACAAGCAUCAUGUUGUAUUUCCACCACCAUUCUAGUGUUCCAAAUUGUAGGAAAUUUAGGAUGCUUCUCAUUCUAUCUCAGAAACAAGCUUAUCAAGAUAAAUACCUUAGAAUGGCAUGCAUAAAGACUAAAAGAAGCCUAUUAUGUUACUUGUCUGAAGGUUAAGAAGGUUCUCUUAAUUUCUUGAGAAUUCUCCAUCAGAAGCAUUUAAAGGAAAAAGAAAAUAGCAUUAGAUUUUGUUGGGGGGGUAUUAAAAUAUGUAUGAUCAUUGACUAGGCCUUCAUUUUCUGUUUCCUCGCUACACUCUCCUUUACCAGUUGGGAAAAAGAGGGUGGGGGUGGGGUGGGGGAGGAAUUGACAAAAGAAGGUAGUAAUACCUGGAGAUGAAUUGACUUUAUGUACUAGUGAGAAGUUAACCAGGUCUAGGAUACUUGCUUUCACCUUGUUUUUAUGUUGUACAUGCAAUCAUUUAACUCUGACAAGGUAUUGAGGAAAAAACUUCCUAGGGAAGAUGUGGAAAUUUUUUUGAGAUAAAGUUUGUUUAGACUUAUGGAUUUGUUCUCCUGGUACAUUUCAGUUUGGAAGAUUUACCGAGCAAACUAAGGAGUCUCGUGAGAAAUGCGAAGAAAGUGGAAGCUGAGUUAGUAGCUCUGAAGAUAUCAUACCUCAAGAAAAUCAACAAAGGGUCUAACAUUGUGAUAAUGGACUCGUGAGUUUUUCUCAUAAUAAACUCGAGCACCACACUUAAUUCUCUUAUGCUCUUAUACUCUAUGUGCACCUAUGUAUAAUUUUAGUUAUCAAUGAUAUAUUAUUAAAACUUUUCAGGUACUCUGAUUCAGCUAAAACAGUUGCUAAAACACUGACGAGCCUUGGCUUUAAGAACUGCUGGAUCAUGACUGAUGGCUUCUCCGGAGGGAGGGGUUGGUUGCAGAGUCGGCUGGGAACAGAUUCUUAUAACUUUUCGUUUGCCCAAGUCUUAUCACCAUCAAGAGUCAUACCAGCAGCAGCUAGACGUUUUGGUACAACAGGCACCGUCAGAUUGCUUUCAGGGGAUAGUGAUUAAUUAGUUUCCCCUUGUAAUGACCAACAAAUGGCCAUAGUAUAGUUUUGGAUUCUUUAAGAUAGCCUGGUGUAAUUCUUUGAUCAGUUCUAAUGAACUAUCCUUUGCCUCAAUUCUUCACUUUGUUUUAGCAUGUGACUGCAUGUUUUCAGAUUUUGAUUCUACAUCCAACGUAAGUGCUAAUGGCACAUUGAGCAAGGUUCAGCUUAAGAGGUUCCAUCCCUUCACUUUGUUUUGGAUUUAAGUUUUUCCAAGUUCAAGCUCUUGAUUUUGCAGUAAUCGUCAAAGCAAUUCUUGCAUCACCUUCAUUAAUUUGGGCAUAAUUCAAAUCACAAAAUAUGAAGCAGGCAUUUGAACAAUAUUUUAUUAAAAGUCAAGAAAAGAAUAUUCCCAGUUGAAAUUAAACAAAAAUAUAUUUGAAAGUUGGGCGAUUGUGUUUGGACAUCAAAUUUAGUUGAAAAAUAGUUUGUGAAAUUUUAUUUGUGUGGGGAAAACAUCAUGUUGCUUGAAAUAUUCUCUAAACUAAUAUUUUAACAUUUCACCAGGAUUUUUAAAUAUUCUCAUUCGAAAUUGCUGACAGCUACACCAAUAUUUAUAAACUGUAAAUAUUGAAGUUCUUUAUUAUAAAUACGUAAAUAUUAUUUGAGGCCCUGGCAAAUUGUUUGGUCUGGUAAAAUAUUUUCUAAAAAGAUAAGUUUGUUAGAAAUUCAAUGUAUGUGGAUGUCCCUUCCAAUGUACGUGGAUGUUCUUUCCGUAACUGUCUUUGGGAAUUCAUACACCAAAUGAAUGAGUUCAUUAAUACAUGUAAUUUGAGAAGACAUUUUGUAACCUAUAAAUAGAAUGUUAUUCUCCUGUGGAAAACACAUAAGAAACACACUUAAAUACGAUAACUUCUAUAUUCUCCUCCUAUAUACAUCUUGUCUCCAUUAUUCUAUUUUGCUCUCAUUUCUUAAUACGUUAUCAGCACAAAGUUCUAACCAACUGAGAUUAUCUGCUUCAUUCGAAUUUUAUCUUCUUCCAAAAAGAGGUAGUUAAUUUCUUUUCCGGUCCGGAUAUACAUUCUUAUGUUUAUAACGUUUCUAUUAGGAUCUUCUUUAACGUAUAAUUUAGUUACCAUAUGCAUAACAUGUUUUGAAUAUGAUUAUAAUAAUUGCCUUGGUACGAAAACAAUAAGCUUCGGUUAAAUUGUUAUUUUAUUAUAUAAUCUACGAAGAAGUUUAAACCUACACAUAAAUAGAUAAGUAUUAAAUUGAAUUAUAAUGAUUAGACAAAUUAAUCCCACAUCCAAAUGUUAUGACGGAAUGGUCACGUAGAAGGAAUUCUUGCAAAAAUUUCAAAAGGUUUAAACGUAUAUUCAAUGAAUUUAUCACCUAAGUAUACAAACUAAUUGAUGACUUUAGAAUUAAUGACUUAACUAUUAGAUGAAUCGUAUUCAAUAUUGAAACUUGGCAGAAUUGAUAUCAUCUAGUUUUAUGCCUACUUAACUUAUUGAAAUGUCUUCUAAGUAGAACAAAUAUACUAGUACCUAUUAAUGAGAUUACUUCAACUUAUUUAUUCUCUGAAAAUAUACUUACAUGUCUAAAGUUCUUAUGUGUAAUAUUGAGCACUAAUUCAUCAUCGCACUACACAUAAUUAUUUGUUCUAACAAUUAUAUAGAGAAUGUUAAUACACGACUAUAUUCUGCAGUGAUUUUAUUUUUCUUUCAUUGAUAACAAUUCUUAUCAUUCUAAUUCACUUAUUUUCUAUGAUAGUUUUCACUAUGUCAAAUUUGUCAAAACUUGAAUUUGUGGUACUUGACAUCUCUGGGAAUAACUAUAUGUCAUGGGUACUUGAUGCUGAAAUUCACCUUGACGCUAACGGUCUUGGUGACACUAUUAAAGAAGGAAAUAAAACAACAAGUCAGGAUAAGGCAAAAGCCAUGAUUUUCCUUGGCCAUUAUCUCGAUGAAGGGUUAAAAAGUGGAUAUUUAACCUUGAAAGAUCCAUUUCAAUUAUACUUUGAAGGAACGAUAUGUGUUGCUCCCUAACGCAUACGCAAGUAUACGUCGUCAACAAGUAAUAUAGGAUUGUUAGUCCAGAUAUCGUACCCACAGGGACUUGUGAUUAACUAUUAACAAAAUUAAAACAAACAAUUAAUCUAUUCAAGCGAAUCCUAACGUAUGAAUAUUUAACUAAAAUUAAUCUAAAGCAACAAAUUAAGAGAUUAAAGAAAACAAGUUGUUGAAUUAUAAAGACGAAUUCAAUGUGAGUAAAUAUUCUAGAGCUAUGGGUUAGCUAGCAAUCCCGUUGAGUUUUCCACUUAAAUCGUCUAAUUAAUUUAUCUGGUUUAUUGGUUGAUACGGUUAAUAUUGCUCGUAGCCUUUUCCCGAAGUACAACUCGCAUAUUCAAGCUAAUCUAACGCCUAUAUUCCUAUGGAAUUAGAAUUAACAAGAACGCAUUAAUAAUUCAUGUAUAGUAACCAAACAAGGCGAUUAGGUAUAUUUCUAUCCUAACCGCAAAUCUACCCCCUCCCCCCUCAAAAUUAAGAUCUUGCUCUACUCAAUCUUAUAUGCAAUCUAGAAUUCCCUCUCCCGAGUUUAAUCCUAGAUUCGUAGAUAGUAUUCAAUUGGUGAUCAAGCAAUCAAAUAAUUAAGCGCAAGAUUGAAUAAAUAAACCAAUAUAAUAAAAUAAUAAAAAUAAUUCAAGCUUCAAACUACAACGUUCAUGUAGCACCCAAAAUUCUAGAACUAAUGAACUAUGAAAUUAAAGGAAGAGAAGAGAAGAAAAACUAGUUAAAACCCUCCUCCAAGCGUGGUGUGUGUUCCAAAACGUAAAUUCUCCUUCAAAGUAUGUUAGAUCUCCUCCAAAUUAGGUUUAGGCCCCCUUUUAUACGAGUUGCAAUCGUGUAGGAUCGAAAUAACCUUAUCCAGAACGAAGAAAGAAAAGUCCGUACCCAGCGUCCAGGGCCAGCGCCUGAUCAUCGUGCAAAAUAUACAAGUCACAAACAAACAACAAACUUCUAACCUCCUAACCUCAGAGAGGGACUUUAUCUUAUCAAAUUUAAGCUUGCUCACCUACUCUGUCAAAGAAGCUAAUAACAUCACAUAUCUAUCAUGAAACACGUGCUCUCACAAGAAUAAAUAGUCUAUACACUCAAAUCAAAGAAUGGAUAUAAUUUAAGGACUUAUCAUCAAAUAACAACUCUCGCACUCACAAAUAAAUUCACAUGUAUGCACAAAGAACCAUAGGCUUGCCCAUUAUGUACAUCUCUACUAAUUAAGUAUGGUCGAAUAGAAUCAAAUAAGACUUUAACGGGUUGUAAUGUUGGCUAAGGGACAAGUAGGAGAACAUAUAAUAGUGACUUAUACUUCCCUAAGCACUUUGCAUUUUUAGACUUCAUCACCCAUUAUUUUCAUAUUUUCACUUUUAUUUUUCAACCCUCUCUUCAACAAUUAUUUCACAAGUAUUUCCCUCAUAUCAAGAACGUUUCAUUUUUUUCAAAGAAAUUUUUCAUUCUAUUUUUUUUUAUCAUGUCAUAUUCUUUUCAAGAGUGUCUUUUCAUUAUUUUUCAACCAUCAUUGGUCACCAUUUUUCACUUAACCAUCCCAUUCUUCAAAUUUAUCAAUUAAUAUCACAGUCUAAGCAAUAGUGCUCAAGAAAGCAGGGUGCAAAAACUAGAGAUUCAACAAAAGGAUCAAGGCAAAAAUAUGCUUCCAAACAAAAGGCUACAGGCUCAAAGGGCUAACUGGUGGUACAAUAUCUGAAAAGGCUAAAUUUCACAAGACAUAUCAAAGAAAGUCUAUUAUCAUCCUCUAAACAGAGCAACACUUUUAUUUCGCUUCAAUAACAUGCAGGGCAAGUUCUAAGCUAAGAUGCAAAAUAUGGAAUAUAUGUAAGAAAUCCUCACCUCACAUGGCACAAGUAUCAAUCAAGAUGGAUCAAUUCUACUCUGAGACACACGGGAUCAUAGCGAACAACAAAAUAAGAAUAAGUUAUAUACAGAAUCACAACCAUGAGCUUAGGUGUCAGAAAGUCUGCUAUUUUAUUCAUUACUCAAGCACACAAACGAAAGUACUACUCAAGCUUAGGCCUACAUAUGCUAGUAUCAAACAACUUUCUUCUCCAUCAUUUACUACUCCAAAAAAAAUCUAAUCCUAAAAAUAAAAAAAAAUUACCCAGUUUAGGUUACAUCCCCUGGAAAAGAACCGAUGCAAAAAAAAAACAAGGGGGAUCAUUAUCUAACUAAAACUAACUAGAAAUAAAAAUAAAAUAUUAUUGAAUUUUUUUAUUAGACCUUAAUCCCUCAAGAAAGUCGUCCACAAAAUUCAUCAUCGGGAAAAGUCCAAAUUUUUUGAUUUUUUUUCUCAUUUUUCUUUCUUUUCUAUUUUUUAACAAAAACUAAUAUUACACUAAGAACUAGUACUACAACUAAGCUAAGUUAGCACAGAAAAUUACCCAGACAAUCUCCUCACCCCACACUUAAAAUUGUGCAAUGUCCUCAAUGCACACUGAAAAUAACAAGAGGGUAAAAGAGAUUCCCUGGUAGGCCAAAGGCCGAAGAAUUAGCAGCUCACGGGAUACUCAGACUUCUCCCAGGUAUGAUCCCUUGUGCGGGUACCUCACACUUAGUUUCAACCAUCUGCUCGAUUUUUCACAUGCCUAUUGGCUUUGACUCCAUGCCCCUCUUCCUACAAAACACAAAAACAACAAUACAAAAAAAAAUAACACAAUUAAAAAAAAAAGAAUAGAAUUGGGUUGCCUCCCAAUCACCUGAUUUAACGUCGCGGUACGACGCCAUACUUUCACCACUUUUUCUUCCACUUUGAAGAUAUGAGUUGCGCCCCCAAUUUUGCAUCAAUUUUUCUGUCACAUUCCUAGGGCGAUGGUGUAAAUACAAAAGAACCAAGUAAAUAACAUCGCAUCUUGCACCUCUUGGCCCUUAAGUGAGGUAUGUCGUUUUGCCUUUUUGGUGUGGCAAAUUUCAGUAUGUAAGGGUUUUGUUCUUCAUCUAUACAUCUCUCCAAAAGUUCGAUCUUCAUGUCUUCAUCCAAACAUAAUGUAGAAAAAUGUGUAGAAUGAGGACCAAUACGCCCCAACUCUAAAACUGCAUUAUUUUUGAUAUCCUCAGUAAUACGUACUCCCUCAACCCCGGCAUUAUCAACAAAAACAUGGUCUAGUGAUUGAUAUUCUCAUUUUAGCUCCUCAAUUUGGCCUAGAAAAUCUUUUUCGGCUUCAUACAAUUCAUUAUUAAAUUGCUGGGUGUUACACGCAUCAAUCUUUGCACUCAAAUCUGCAUCCAAGUCACGAAUAGAACUGCCAAAUUGGUCGAUCUCUUGUACCAAUACAUCUCUUCCUUCUAUAAAGUGUUGCCUCCCAUUUGUAAUUUUCUCACGAAAACCUCCAUAUUCUUCUAAUAAUUUUCUGUGCAUAUCAAGAAUGCGAACAUCGUGUUCCCCAUUAUCCAAUUUGUUCCUGUCAAACUCACAGGAAUUAUUAGAAUCAACAUAAGAAGGGAUUGAAGUAGGAUAACAAUAUUUAGGACAAUUAUUCCAUCUACCAUCACAAAUAGUACAGGAUGGAGAUGGUGCACACAACUCGGCACUAGGAAUAUUUUUACAAAUUGCCACAAGUGGAAUCCUUUACAAUAUGGACAAGGAUCACAAAAAUAAGAAUACUUACUAUCCCACCACUUUUCGUUCAAAGAUGCUAUAUAAAAAAAACAUAAUACCAACUACACUAAACUAAAAUUAAAAACUUAAAUAGAUAAAAAGUAAAAAUCUAAUCUAGUAAAAUAGUUAAUUUCUAAGUCCUGGGUAACAGCGCCAAAAACUUAUUUUUGCCAAAUGCACACGCAAGUAUACUUGUGUCAUGACCCAAAAAUCCCUCCGAAGGAGUCGUGAUGGCAUCUAGUCUCUAAACUAGGUAAGCCUAACAUAAACUGAAAUAAUAUUGAUAGUUACUAACUUUAAAUUAAAUUACUCUGAAUAAAUUACAAUUCCCAAAAUCGGUGGUACAAGAUUAAAAGUAGUUAUACAAAAUAAAUACCUCACUACUCCGAAACAAAAGGAACAAAUGGAAAUAAGUACAAAUGAAGGUGACUCUGAGGCCUGCGAACGCUGAAGCAAGUUUACCUUGAGUCUCCAUCGCAACGACCCGCACAGCUACUACCGUUCAAAUACCUGGAUCUGUACAAAAAAAUGUACAGAAGUGUAGUAUGAGCACACCACAGCUGUGCCCAGUAAGUAUCAAGACUAACCUCAGUGGGGUAGUGACGAGGAACAGUUCAGACACCUACUGGUCAAAUAAAUUAAACAGGAUUUGAUAAUAAUCUAUCAACCUAGAAAUGACAUAGUAAUAUCAACAACAUGGAAAAAACAAACUACAAUCAGUAGAAAUAAUAAAGAGAAACACGAGUGGAAACGAAAGAUAACCAUAUAAAUUAACACCAACAUAGCUGGAACAUAGACAAGUAAAAAUGUACUCAACAAGGAAGGCGAUGUCAGCUCAAUAAAUCAUAUCGUUUCUGAUGCACAAUUUCCAGCCAUCUCAAACUCGAUGUCUCAUAUCAUAACCUCAAUUACCAAACUUUUAGCACAACCCGGCACCUUGUGCCCACAUAUUUCUAUCUCACUUUACACAAUAACGUUCUCUUGUUACUCAGUUCAUAGGGUUCAUAACUAAUGCAAUUAAGAUGUUCAAGGAGUUUAAUUUACAUAACAUAAAGUAGAGUAUAACUUCUAAACCAAUUAGGAACCCAGAAGAAAAGAUGAAGUUAUUUUUAGAAAUCAUUUGAAUAAAGAAAGUACCAUUUUCAAUUAAAUACAACAUCGAAUGAAUUAUUGCCUUUAACAAGGAAUUUAAUAAAUUAACUUAGUAGAAAUUUCAUUUUUAAGUAAAAUACAACUUCAGACGGUUUAAGAAAAUUUAAUUGAGUAACUAAAUGAAUUGAAGAUGAAACAAUUACUGAAAUUUUAAAGUAUUGAAAAAUAUGUAUAUAAAUACGGCGAAGUAUUGAAAACACGAUGGGGUUCCUUCACAAAGGAUCACAACGGUAAAGGAAUCUGAACAGUUAAAACACUUGAAUUGGUAACAACAAAUAAGCAUAGCAAACAGAAAGUGCACGACAUCACCCUUCGUGCUUUUACUCUCGUUCUCACAAUAAGAAUCAAUAUUCACUUUUAUUCUUUCUUGUUGCAGGCGUGCAACCCGAUCCCAUUUCAAAUAUUACCGUGGCGGCGUGCCACUCGAUCCCAUUUCAUAUAUCACCAUGGCGGCAUGUCACCCGUUCCUAUUUCAUAUAUCUUGUUGCAGGUGUGCAACCUGCUCCCAUUUCAAAUAUCACUGUGGCGGUGUGCCACCCGAUCCCAUUUACAAAUCAACAUCAAUCAUAAAAGAAUCCCGAAAAGGGAACAAGAGUAUAACAACAAUGUCCCGGCAAGGGAGACAAGAUUGUAAACAACAACAUCCCGGCAAGGGAACAAUAGUAUAACAACAAUAUCCCGGCAAGGGAAACAAUAUCAUAAGCAAUAACAUCUCGGCAAGGGAACAAUAGUAUAACAACAAUAUCCCGGCAAGGAAAAUAAUAUCAUAAGCAAUAACGUCCCGGAAAGGGAAUAAACAAGUACAUAAUAAGGGUCACGGAAAAACCAAGAAGCACAAUAAUCUCAACAAAACAACAAGCCAUAAUAAGAAUGUGAUGACUACACCGGUAACCAUAACAAAUUGGACAUGUAACAUAUUUGCACGAAGUCAUAGAGUAACUCACAAUCAAGAAGUAUCAAAACAAUAAGGAAUGCAAUCAUUUCAAUUAAGGCAAUUACGGGUCAAUUGUCAAGGUAACACCUAAGAAUUAAAGGAAAGCUAACAACGUCAUAUGGAGCAUAUAGAAGCAAUUUAAGCAAUUAGGAAACUCAAUCAUAACAGGAUACUUUUCACAUAAGGACCUAAGAACCCUAAAGGCAAAUUUCCCCCAAAUAAGUCCGAGCACACACUCGUCACCUCGCAUGCAUGGAUUACAAUUAGCAUAGAAGACUCAAUUCUUAAGGGGAAGUCCCCCACACAAGGUUAGGCAAGAUACUUACCUCAAUCCGGCCAAUUCAAUAAUCAAUUUAGCUUUUCCUUUACCAAUUCAUCAAUGUUCGGCUCAAUCUAGUCAAAAACGACUUGAAUACAUCUAACAAUGCAAGAGAAAAUAAUUCCAAUUAACAAAACUAUAAUUUUUAUACAAUUUGCAAAAAGUCAACAAAAGUCAACUCCCCGGGCCUGAACCUCGGAACCCGACAAAAUUUACAAAAAUCGAAUACCUAUUCUGAUACGAGUUCACCCAUACAAAAAUUAUCCAAUUCUGAUAUCAUUUGGUCUUUCAAAUCAUCAUUUUAUAUUUUUGAAAGAUUUCACAAUUUUUCCCAAAUUCAAUCCCAAAUCACAAAUCAAAUGAUAAAUUCAAUGAUAGAUUCAUGUAUUCUCGCCAAAUCCGAGUUAGAAUCACUUACCCCAAUGAAUUUCUUGAAAAACCUUUCAAAAAAUCGCCAAGAUCCGAGCUCUCUAGGUCAAAAUAUGAAAUAAAACCCUAAACCUCGUAUUUAUAGUGCACCUCCGAGAUUUCCAUCACUGCUGACCGCAAAAAAAAACCAACGCUGACCGCGGUCCAUCACCGCUAACCGCGGAGAACUUUGACUACAGUGACAUGCUUUAGUAUUUUGGCCAUAACUUUCUCUACAUAUGUCCAAAUUAUGAUUUCUUUAUCUUUCUGAAAACUAGACACGAAGGGUUACAAUUUUCGUUGUUGAAUCAUCUCAAAAUUCCUUAUAGAUCAAAUGAUAUAAGCUUCCGAAAUCGGACAAGUGAUCCUGCAGAACAUCUUGAUGCGCGGCCGCACACGAAAUUAUGCGGUCCGCACUGUGGUCCACGAAAUUUUAGUACAGUCCGCACUCUCCUCUGCGGUCCGCAUAUAUUUGGUGCAGUCCACACUCCCAAAAGUGCCAGAACCAUCUCAGAGUACCAAAAUGCCCGGACUCGCUCAAAAUUCACCACGAAAUACACCCGAGGCCCCAGGAACCUCAACCAAAUGUACCAAAACAUUCCAUAACAUCAUACGAACUUAGCCCCACUUUCAAAUCACUUCAUACAUCGCUAAGACCAUGAAUUAGAUGCCCAAACACAUGAAAAUCACUAUGAACUUCAAGAAACUCUAAAAUUGCAACCAAGCGUCCGAACCAUAUCUAAUCAACUCCAAACGACGCCAAAUUUUACAGGCAAGUCCCAAAUGACAUAACGGAGAUGAUCCAACUUUCGGAAGUAUAUUCCGACCUCGAUAACAUAAAAGUCAACUAUGGGUCAAACCUCUCCAUUUUCUAAACUUCAACUUUUCCAACUUUCACCAAAAUGCCUCAAAUUACCCUACGAGCCUCCAAACCCAAAUCCGAACACAUGCCCAAGUCCAAAAUUAGCAUACGAAGCUACUGACAUCAUCCAAAACUCAUUCCGGAUCCGUUUACUCAAAAGUCAAAUUCCAGUCAAAUUCUCUCCGCUUAAGCUUCCAGGACUAUAUUCCUUCUUUCCAAUUCGACUUCGAUUCAUCCGAAAACUGAAUCCAACCCUACACACAAGUAGAUAUACAUAAUGUGAAGUUGCUCUUGAACUCAAACUGCCGAACUGAAUGCAAUUGUUCAAAAUGACCAGUCGGGUCGUUACAUUCUCCUCCACUUAAACAUAUGUUUGUCCUCGAAUGUGCCCGGAGUCGUUCCAAAGCCAUUGAACCACUACAUGAGCUCCUCAUACAUACACUCGUGGGUGUUUCCCUAUCACCCAACCUAUGCAGAACUGACAAUGCCACUUAACUGAAGGUCCCAUCUCCUCCUUAGUCCAUAACCUUAGAACAAAACCCAAACCUCGUCAUCUGAAAUUUGUCAUAGAACCCAAAUUCCACAUCAUCACACUGAUUACACCCGAACAAGACGAAUCGAGCCAAAAAUUCCAACCCAAAAUACAAUCACAUGUUGAUCCACGCAUCUCAAAUACUCGAAGCAAUAACCUCUGACCACCAUAGCUGCUCAAAUAACACUAUGGAUGCCGACAAUACACUUCACAUUGAAUACAACCUUGUUCCGGACUUCCACAACACUGCCCAUGAUAAAGAAACAUGCGGAAACUCAUAGCCGCUCAUGAAGCCAACAAGUCAAGAAACUCUCUCGCCUGCCAAUGGCCAUUAACCAACUCUUAGCAAGAACAACCACAUACUCCCAAACACUCCUCACCCCCAAUUCCAUAGUUCAAACCUCAGAUCUAAAAACCUCAUCUCAGCCAAUACAAGAAACUCAACUAACAGUUCAUCACAAAACCACACGGAUUCUCAAACUACACAGUUUGUACACCAGCCUAACAAUGACUCAAUUAUGCAGCACAAAUAAAGGAAAUCAAAGUAUAAGAAUUAUCUAACAAGUACAACACGUGUAACAACAAAAGUAUAAUUAAUUAAAUUUUUUUCAUCAAAUCGCCCCACAGAGGGAAAACACAACACCAGAUAAACACAAGGAAAGGGUAUCCCUCAUAACAUCCGUUGCGGCGUGCAGCACGCUCCCAAAUACUCAUAAAGUCAAAAUGAUCGAGUUCAUUGAACAUAUGAAUACUGAUAUCAAGCACUGCAGAGUGCACAUGUAAAACUAUGGGGACAAUGAAUAAAAGUAAUAAAAUGGGAGAGAAGCAAGCACACAUAAGGUGCUAUGAACAAAUCAACCUCACGAGGGCUAUCUCGCCCGCAUCGCCAUAAGACCUGAAUGAAAUCACAACAUGCGUGGGGGAUAAUCAUGCACCUCACCGCCUAGCACAUCACAAAAGAGUAGCACAUAACAUAGGCUAAGGGCGCAAAUAAUAUCCAUUUUGCCUGAUAGCAUAACCAAAACGGAAACCUCACAGGAGCACACAAACUUGAUCUGAUACAAAACACAUAUUCUCAUUGAGCUUUCAAAUAGUCCUAACCAAAUUCUGAUCCUUCCCAAUUAGAUAAGUAUGCUUCAAAAAGAUCCACAACAACUUAUCGAUAACACAUGCUAUUAAUUAUUCCAUUCUCGACAUUUCUUCAAGAUCCGUAACCAGGAAAUAGUCCAUUCAUGAGGGCAUCUAGCCCCAAACCUCAGGAAUACCGAAAUUUCCAUACCCAACUCCACUACGCAAAUCAAAUGGCUAAUAUAUCACUCACACCUUAUUAUUCUGCUGAAGCACCUAUAUAGGAUUUCUGGCCGCGUAUCAAAACAUGAACCCUGAAAGCCUCAAAAUCCAGUAAUCACCAUGCUGCUAGCCACGCACCCGCAAACAAAAACUCAAGGUCCCUUCCAAAAAUGCACACCCUUCACAUAUGAUAUUCAACAAGGUCAAAACUAUAUUAAUUUCUUAUAUAUAUUCAGUAGAAAGUCAUAGUACCACAUAUUCCUUACGCCUAUAGUAGACAACCAACUCAAGCCUUUGUCGAACCAUCGAGAACCCUCCGAGGUCUGCCCGCACGCAACUAAGCCAUCAGGAUUGCACCUCCCCAACUCAACCGAGUCACGCAGACCGUCCAAUCUAAGAGUGCUGCCACAAAUGCCAGUAGAGAAUUCCCAUUCAAAAUGACCAAUUACUUCCAUUGCCAUACUGACCCCAUCACUAACGAACUAAACCAUUUCUUCGGAUAGUCGAUAAGCAAUAUCCCCCAUCAAAGCCCCAAUAUCAUCCCUAGAAAGAUCUCAGUCUUUAGUUAUAUACAAAUUUCGGAAACCUUCCAAUACCAAUUAUAUACAUACCUCAAGCCAAAACUGAUGUAAAUCUGACUCUACAAUCUGAACACCGCUAGUGGACUCCUCCACUUAGCGCGAAGCCAUAGAAAAAAACAUUUGAUGAUCUGCAAAACUAACUUUCGCAGCUCGCACAACACCAAUCACAAGGUACCCCAAUACCACCAGUCGUCCUCAAUCAACAUCCACCUCGCAACAUUGCCACAAUUGCGACGACUAGUCAACCAAUUAGACCUUCCCAAGCUCGCACUUAUCAACCAGAUGUCGGAAACUGUUGCGCCUCCAUAUGAACAAUUGAAUAGUCUCUCAAUGCCUCUGUAUCUACAGUCUAGGCGACAUGUUGAGACAAUGCCUGAGCAUCCCUGACUCCUUCGUAGCCCGUUUGUAGCAUCACGAACCACUGACACAUAGCGGACAUUGAGAGCGUAAUAUCAUACACGAGUGGAUGUGGAGGAACAUAAGUUAUAUACCUCGAGCUGAAUCAAUAUCGCACGAUAAGGAAUAAAAAAAGUGGAAUUUCCUAACAGUUCUGUAGCCUCUCAAAGAUAAGUACAGACGUCCCCGUACCGAUCCGCAAGACUCUACUAAACCUGUUUGUGACUUGUAGCACCUAUGAACCUAGUGCUCUGAUACCAACUUGUCACGACCCAAAAAUCCCUCCAAAGGAGUCGUGAUGGUACCUAGUCUCUAAACUAGGUAAGUCUAACAUAAACUGAAAUAACAUUGAUAUUUACCAACUUUAAAUUAAAUUACUCUGAAUAAAUUAUAAUUUCCAAAACCGGUGGCACAAGUCACAAGAUUUUCUAAGAGUAGUUAUACAAAAUAAAUACAUCACUGCUCUGAAACAAAAGGAACAAAUGGAAAUAAGUACAAAUAAAGGUGACUCUGAGGCCUGUGAAUGUUGUAGCAGGUUUACCUCGAGUCUCCACCGCAACGAUCCGCACAGUUACUACUGAUCAAAUACCUGGAUCUGUACAAAAAAAUGUACAGAAGUGUAGUAUGAGCACACCACGGCAGUGCCUAGUAAGUAUCAAGACUAACCUUGGUGGGGUAGUGACGAGGAACAAUCUAGACACCUACUGGUCAAAUAAAUUGAACAGGAUUUGAUAAUAAACUAUCAACUUAGAAAUGACAUAGUACUAUCAACAACAGGGAAAGAACAAACUACAAUCAGUAGAAAUAAUAAAGAGAAACACGAGUGGAAACGAAAGAUAACCAUAUAAAUUAACACCAACAUAGCUGGAACAUAUACAAGUAAAAAUGUACUCAACAAGGAAGGCGAUGUCAGCUCAAUAAAUCAUAUCAUUUCUGAUGCACAAUUUCCAGCCAUCUCAAACUCAAUGUCUCAUAUCAUAACCUCAAUUACCAAACUUUUAGCACAACCCGACACCUUGUGCUCACAUAUUUCUAUCUCACUUUACACAAUAAUGUUCUCUUGUUAUUCAGUUCAUAGGGUCCAUAACUAAUGCAAUUAAGAUAUUCAAGGAGUCUGAUUUACAUAACAUAAAGUAGAGUACAACUUCUAAACCAAUUAGGAACCCAAAAGAAAAGAUGAAGUUAUUUUUAGAAAUCAUUUGAAUAAAGAAAGUAACAUUUCAAUUAAAAUACAACAUCGAAUGAAUUAUUGCCUUUAACAAGGAAUUUAAUAAAUUAACUUAGUAGAAAUUUCAUUUUUAAGUAAAAUACAACCUUAGACGGUUUAAGGAAAUUUAAUUGAGUAACUAAAUGAAUUGAAGAUGAAACAAUUACUGAAAUUUUAAAGUAUUGAAAAAUAUGUAUAUAAAUACGGCGAAGUAUUGAAAACACGAUGGGGUUCCUUCACAAAAGAUCACAGCGGUAAAGGAAUCAGAACAGUUAAAACACUUGAAUUGGUAAUAAUAAAUAAGCAUAGCAAACAGAAAGUGCACGACAUCACCCUUCGUGCUUUUACUCUCGUUCUCACCAUAAGAAUCAAUAUUCACUUUUAUUCUUUCUUGUUGCAGGCGUGCAACCCGAUUCCAUUUCAAAUAUUACCAUGGCGGCGUGCCACCCGGUCCCAUUUCAUAUAUCUUGUUGCAGGCAUACAACCCACUCCCAUUUCAUAUAUCUUGUUACAGGCGUGCAACCCGCUCCCAUUUCAUAUAUCUUGUUGCAGGGGUGCAACACACUCCCAUUUCAUAUAUCUUGUUGCAGGCAAACUGGCAGACCGUAUGUAAUUGUUCAAAACGACUAGUCGGGUCGUUACAACGUGGUCGACAAGUAAUAUAAGAUUGUAAGUCUAAAUAUCGUACCCAUAGGGACUUGUGAUUAACUAUCAACUAAAUUAAACCAAAUAAUUAAUCUAUUCAAGCGAAUCCUAACGCAUGAAUAUUUAACUUAAAUUAAUCUAAAGUAACAAAUUAAGAGAUUAAAGAAAACAAGUUGGUGAAUUAUAGAGACGAAUUCAAUGUGAGUAAAUAUUCUAGAGCUAUGGGUUAGCUAACAAUCCCGUUGAGUUUUCCACUUAAAUCGUCUAAUUAAUUUAUUUGGUUUAUUGGUUGAUAGGGUUAAUAUUGCUCGUAGCCUUUUCCCGAAGUAUAACUCGCCUAUUCAAGCUAAUCUAACGCCCAUAUUCCUAUGGAAUUAGAAUUAACAAGAACGCAUUAAUAAUUCUUGUAUAGCAACUAAACAAGGCGAUUAGGUAUAUUCCUAUCCUAACCGCAAAUCUGCCCCCCCCCCCAGAAUUAAGAUCUUGCUCUACUCAAUCUUAUAUGCAAUCUAGAAUUCCCUCUCCCGAGUUCAAUCCUAGAUUCGUAGAUAGUAUUCAAUUGGUGAUCAAACAAUCAAAUAAUUAAGCGCACGAUUGAAUAAAUAAACCAAUAUAAUAAAAUAAUAAGAACAAUUCAAGCUUCAAACUACAACGUUCAUGUAACACCCAAAACUCUAGAACUAAUGAACUAUGAAAUUAAAGGAAGAGAAGAGAAGAGAAGAAAAACUA
This 37576-nucleotide long non-coding RNA is filed under the name Nicotiana tabacum (common tobacco). RNAcentral's name for it is "long non-coding RNA (NTAB_LNC011454)". The stretch from base 748 to 855 matches the Rfam family "MIR162_1 microRNA precursor family". The record is from RNAcentral. Lineage: Eukaryota; Viridiplantae; Streptophyta; Magnoliopsida; Solanales; Solanaceae.